AUACGUAGGGUGCAAGCGUUGUCCGGAAUUACUGGGUGUAAAGGGAGUGUAGGCGGGAUAGCAAGUCAGAUGUGAAAACUAUGGGCUCAACCCAUAGACUGCAUUUGAAACUGCUGUUCUUGAGUGAAGUAGAGGUUGGCGGAAUUCCUAGUGUAGCGGUGGAAUGCGUAGAUAUUCGGAGGAACACCAGUGGCGAAGGCGGCCUACUGGGCUUUAACUGACGCUGAGGCUCGAAAGUGU
This 240-nucleotide ribosomal RNA is filed under the name uncultured bacterium. Its description in RNAcentral is "partial 16S ribosomal RNA". It matches the Rfam family "Bacterial small subunit ribosomal RNA", at positions 523 to 762 of the family's 1533-position model. The record is from RNAcentral.